RNAcentral lists this microRNA precursor (103 nucleotides) under Marmota monax (woodchuck). Lineage: Eukaryota; Metazoa; Chordata; Mammalia; Rodentia; Sciuridae. The record is from RNAcentral.
AAUGGGAUAGCUGGGUCAAAUGGUGGUUCCAUUCCAAGUUUUCUAAGGAAUCUCCUUAUUGCUUUCCAAAGUGGUUGCAUCAUUUGGUAAUCCUACCAGCAAU